RNAcentral lists this ribosomal RNA (440 nucleotides) under uncultured bacterium. Its description in RNAcentral is "partial 16S ribosomal RNA". It matches the Rfam family "Bacterial small subunit ribosomal RNA", at positions 338 to 795 of the family's 1533-position model. The record is from RNAcentral.
CCUACGGGCGGCAGCAGUGGGGAAUAUUGCACAAUGGGGGAAACCCUGAUGCAGCGACGCCGCGUGAGUGAAGAAGUAAUUCGGUAUGUAAAGCUCCAUCAGCAGGGAAGAAAAUGACGGUACCUGAGUAAGAAGCCGCGGCUAAGUACGUGCCAGCAGCCGUGGUAAUACGUAGGGGGCAAGCGUUAUCCGGAUUUACUGGGUGUAAAGGGAGCGUAGACGGGAGUGCAGGUCUGGAGUGAAAGGGGGGGGCUCAACCCCCGGACUGCGGUGGAAACUGGACGGCUGGAGUGCAGGAGAGGUAAGUGGAAUUCGGGGUGUAGCGGUGAAAUGCGUAGAUAUUAGGAAGAACACCGGUGGCGAAGGCGGCUUACUGGACUGUAACUGACGUUGAGGCUCGAAAGCGUGGGGAGCGAACAGGAUUAGAUACCCCGGUAGUC